This 664-nucleotide ribosomal RNA is filed under the name uncultured cyanobacterium. RNAcentral describes it as "bacterial SSU rRNA". It matches the Rfam family "Bacterial small subunit ribosomal RNA", at positions 98 to 795 of the family's 1533-position model. The record is from RNAcentral. Lineage: Bacteria; Bacillati; Cyanobacteriota.
UCGGACGGGUGAGUAACGCGUGAGAAUCUGCCUUCAGGUUCGGGACAACCACUGGAAACGGUGGCUAAUACCGAAUGUGCAGAAAUGUGAAAUAUUUAUAGCCUGAAGAUGAGCUCGCGUCUGAUUAGCUAGUAGGUGUGGUAAGAGCGCGCCUAGGCGACGAUCAGUAGCUGGUCUGAGAGGAUGAUCAGCCACACUGGGACUGAGACACGGCCCAGACUCCUACGGGAGGCAGCAGUGGGGAAUUUUCCGCAAUGGGCGAAAGCCUGACGGAGCAAUACCGCGUGAGGGAGGAAGGCUCUUGGGUUGUAAACCUCUUUUCUCAAGGAAGAACACAAUGACGGUACUUGAGGAGUAAGCAUCGGCUAACUCCGUGCCAGCAGCCGCGGUAAUACGGAGGAUGCAAGCGUUAUCCGGAAUGAUUGGGCGUAAAGCGUCCGCAGGUGGCUGUGUAAGUCUGCUGUUAAAUAGUGAGGCUCAACCUCAUAAAGGCAGUGGAAACUACAUGGCUAGAGUGCGUUCGGGGCAGAGGGAAUUCCUGGUGUAGCGGUGAAAUGCGUAGAGAUCAGGAAGAACACCGGUGGCGAAAGCGCUCUGCUAGGCCGCAACUGACACUGAGGGACGAAAGCUAGGGGAGCGAAUGGGAUUAGAUACCCCAGUAGUC